AACGUGGAGUGAUCUACCUCCUUUAGCGGGGAAUACCUCUGGGAAACCGGUGACAAUACCGCAUAAGCUCGAGAGAGGAAAGCCGAAAGGCGCUGAAAGAGGAGUCCGCGGCCGAUUAGCUAGUUGGUAGGGUAAUGGCCUACCAAGGCUUUGAUCGGUAGCCGGCCUGAGAGGGCACACGGCCACACUGGCACUGAAACACGGGCCAG
This 209-nucleotide ribosomal RNA is filed under the name uncultured bacterium. RNAcentral describes it as "partial 16S ribosomal RNA". It matches the Rfam family "Bacterial small subunit ribosomal RNA", at positions 114 to 334 of the family's 1533-position model. The record is from RNAcentral.